This is a long non-coding RNA of Larimichthys crocea (large yellow croaker), 436 nucleotides long. RefSeq lists it as uncharacterized. NCBI's taxonomy places the organism in Eukaryota, Metazoa, Chordata, Actinopteri, Sciaenidae. The record is from RefSeq and is a predicted model, not a curated record. The transcript is spliced from 3 exons.
CACUCGUUAAGCGGAAACACCAGCAACAUUUGUCUAACUUGGAAAAAGACUUCAAACAUUAGCUGUCAGAUGUUUUAAAGUAACUCUUCCUAUAACUUUAAUAUCUGCUCAUUUCUGGUCAGCUUGGUGAAGCUGAGACACUACAAGCUGUCUUCUUGCCAAUAAUGCGUGAAGCUGCUGCUGACUUCACCUGUUGAUUUAAUGGAUGAAAAUGGGUUCACCAUGGUCAGGUAUGAACUGCAGUUCUCCUCUAGCAGUGAGGGGAAUAAUUAAGAAAGACAGCUGCUCUUUUUUCUCAUCUGUGUCACCUGGCACUGCGCUGGAUAUUGCAAAUGGCAACACUGUUGGCAUAUGAUGCAUCCCACUUGAAAUAAAUCAUUGAGCUUAAUAUUCAUGCUUGUCAACCAUGUAACAAACGUUAUGUAUAUAUUUUUAU